RNAcentral lists this ribosomal RNA (437 nucleotides) under uncultured Oscillospiraceae bacterium. RNAcentral's name for it is "bacterial SSU rRNA". It matches the Rfam family "Bacterial small subunit ribosomal RNA", at positions 341 to 792 of the family's 1533-position model. The record is from RNAcentral. Lineage: Bacteria; Bacillati; Bacillota; Clostridia; Eubacteriales; Oscillospiraceae.
ACGGGAGGCAGCAGUGGGGAAUAUUGGGCAAUGGGCGAAAGCCUGACCCAGUAACGCCGCGUGAAGGAAGAAGGUCUUCGGAUUGUAAACUUCUUUUAUGAGGGACGAAGGACGUGACGGUACCUCAUGAAUAAGCCACGGCUAACUACGUGCCAGCAGCCGCGGUGAUACGUAGGUGGCAAGCGUUAUCCGGAUUUACUGGGUGUAAAGGGCGCGUAGGCGGGGAUGCAAGUCAGAUGUGAAAUCUAUGGGCUUAACCCAUAAACUGCAUUUGAAACUGUAUCUCUUGAGUGCUGGAGAGGUAGAUGGAAGUCCUAGUGUAGCGGUGAAAUGCGUAGAUAUUAGGAAGAACACCAGUGGCGAAGGCGAUCUACUGGACAGUAACUGACGCUGAGGCGCGAAAGCGUGGGGAGCAAACAGGAUUAGAUACCCUGGUA